UGCCUUCUAGAUACUCAUCAACUUCUGUGUGUGGUGUAUUGAUUUGCACUUGUGGGAUUUGUUGUUUUGUAAUAGGAGGUCAUAAGUCACUUCCUGUGUGUAUCAUUAGUCUCCGCAACCAGACUGCCAAGUCAUUUCGGGAAGGGAUGCCUCCGUGUCGGUCCGCGUGUGUGUAGCUCAUUCUCAUAUUCUCCGGGAUCACGGUCGUGCCCCCUGUGCACGCGCCUUCGCCUUUAGGAGGGGCUGCUGGUUAUCUCUUCCUCUCCGUCAGAUGCUGCGUUAUUUUCGUAAAAUCUCUUAAGCUCUGUGCUUGCUGACCAGUGUCUCUAAACAAUGCUCUGUUAUAACUGGAAAGAAUUAGAUCCUGUUGGUGUAGAGUUUGUGAUGGAACACUUCAUCAGAAAUCCGGAAUGUGGCUUCCGUGAGAAAAUAACCCCUUCAUCUCUGUCAAGGUCUGAAACCCAAGGGAGGGAUGCUGCCUUUGUCUCUUGGUUUUUAAUGUUUUAGAUGUAGACAAGGUGAUUGGAGCAGAGCUUAGAUACUUUUAUAUUUUAAAGUAAAUGACAGUGUAUCUAUUCUUAGGAACCUUUUAGAAAAAUUUCUUCGACAUUGAUCCUGUUACUAGUUGUAACCUCGAUAUAUUUUGAUAAUUUCCUGGAAACCCAUACCUUUCCUUCUGUGUGGGCUUCAGCUGUCUCCUCCUUCCAUAGCAGUCAAAGUAUGGACAGCGCCUGAGUCACUUUUUAGUUCAAAUUCCGUGGCCCUUAAUGUCAGACACAGACAAUUUAUUCAGCUACUUGAUCCAGCCAAACAUCUCUCUGUAACAGGAAAAUGAAUAAAUAGAAUGUUCCUUAACAUAUUGCUUGCAUGGACCAAAACCAUGUAGUAAAGCUCCGUUCAGCUCUUCCUCUCGAAAGAGGAUUAUUGGUUUCCUGCCUUUAACUCCGGCUUGAACAGUUUGACCUUUCUGAGGGCUUUUUGGAAAGUAUUAAGGAAAAAAUUAACAAAACUCGUGCAACCUCAAGGAAUUUUAAGUAUCAGAGUUCACCUCUGUAAAGGUGCUUGGUUCAGAACUUGAGCCUUACUUGCAUUCCUUCCGUGCAUAAUACAGGUCAUUAUUCACGUAUCUGACCCUUGGAUAGCUCGAGUUUGCUUGCCCGGAUAAUAAUAACGGCGAGCGAGGAUCAUCCCCCUCAGCGGGACCAAGAGUUCUAGAGCCGACCUGUGGGGAGGGAGUUCUCAUCCUCCAGUCUUCGUUCAAGAUGUUUUGGCGUCUGUUGAGGACUUUUUCCCACCUUGGAAAUCCGAGGUGGGACUUUGGCCUGGUUCCGUCAAGGACUCUGGAAACCACUUAGCUUGGAGUGGUGCCUUUUGAGUCUGUUCUUGGCAGGGAGCCUUGGCUUUUUUCCUGCGAGAGGCCCUGUGCCUCUUAGGAGCAGAGAGGAGGUCAGAUGCAGAUAACACGGGCAUGGUGUCUGUCUCCUGCAAUGCUGCGCUGAUGUGUGUUUCUCCCUCCCCCCGAGGGUUUAAGGAAGAACACAUUUAUCAUGGAGCGUUAUGAACAGAGAUUACCAGCAGGCAGAGAGAGAGAGAGGAGGAAGCAGGCUCCCUGCCGAGCAGGGAGCCUGAUGCGGGGCUCGAUCCCAGGACCCUGGGAUCAUGACCUGAGCCGAAGGCAGAGGCUUUAACCCACGGAGCCACCCAGGCGCCCCUUCAGCCUCCUUUAACAAGCGUUCAGAUCUCUGCCUGAGGAGGCGGCGUGUUCCAAGGGCGGCUGCGGUGGAAAUGGGGUCCGUCUAGUGCAGCCGCAGCAGUUCCAGCGCAUAGACCGUCCCCGUCUAACAGUAAACCGUCUGCUUAAAGCAACAAAACAAGGCUGGUGGGAGCUGGAAGGAGCAGGCUUUUGUGUCCGGGAAGGAACACGAGUGGCUGCGGAAAGCCCGUCUUGGUGAUGGUUUCAGAUCGUGAAAGGACUCAAUUGCUAGUUGGUUAUAUUUCUGUGUAUGUUUUUGCGGACUUUUAGUUCUCCAGGAGACACGAAGGUUAAAGAAGUGGCCCUGUUUCUGCCGGAGGACGCGCUCCUGUUGUCGGACCGACUGCCUCGCCGUUCCCGAGCGGCAUCGUUUCGGACGUCGUUCACCGGGGAGCCGGGUAUUGGGGGUGUCGUCCCGCUCUUCUUUGCGCCUUCCUUUCGGCAGGUCAGCUCUGCACGUCAGCGUGUGGCUAAAGCUGUCACAGCAGCUGGAAGUUCCGACGUCAGGUCUAAGAGGCGAUGCUCUGCGCUUCCAGCGGAUGGUGGCUGCUAGGCGGAGGGCGGAAGGCUGUGGGGUCGUGGAAGGUGACGACGCCAAGUUUAACUGUUUAUCAAGCUCAGUCAGGAACUUUGAGCUACGUUAACUGCUCUGCAAACAUGGGCCCAUUCUAAGGUCGGUUUGAUGAGUCUCGGUGUACAGAUGCGGAACUUGAGGCUGAGAGAGAGAACGACUCCGCGGUGGCACCCGGCAUGUGGUGUGGCCGGGAUCGGCACUGAGGUCCCCCAUCGGUAAAGCUCUCGCGGGCGACCAGUGCCGGUCACAUUACUCUCUCUCGUGAUGUGGCUUUUUGCCCUGCCCCUACCGGUUCUCUUCCUUCCCCCUUUGAGGUGCUUUAAGCAUCUGCAUCUCGAAUGACACUCGUCGCCUUUCUGAUGUCCUGUGAGGCAAGGUGAUGCCUUAUAUUCAUGCAAAUACUAGAUAAUUGGGGGAUAAGAGAAAUCGUAGUUUUAUUUUAUCUCCCCUUGACUCUCGGAGAUUUGUGCUGUGUUACUAAUCCUGUCUGUUCCAUGAUCGCACUGUGUGACCAGACGUGCGUAACACAGUUGUAGCCUUACCGGAGCUCUCAGAACGCACCGUGUGCGGGAGCCUGAGGCUGCUCGGCUGGGCCCGGGGGCCAGGCAGGCUCCGAGUCGCCGCUUAGUCAGCCACAGCCCUGGUGAGACCGCGGUGACGUCACUUCCUCUCUCUGGGCUUUGCUCCUUCUUCUGUGCGGCCUUCCGAUCCGGUCCCCCCCGCGUGGGAGGCACGGCCUUUAUCAGGACGCCAAACGGGUCACAUGCAGCAUGUCCUCGUGUGCCUGUUACGUUUAGGUGUUUCUAGGAGGGAUGGUUAGUAAAAUAGAAAUUCAUUAAAAAACAUUAUUAAA
Mustela lutreola (European mink) is the source of this 3180-nucleotide long non-coding RNA. RefSeq lists it as uncharacterized. The transcript is spliced from 2 exons. NCBI's taxonomy places the organism in Eukaryota, Metazoa, Chordata, Mammalia, Carnivora, Mustelidae. The record is from RefSeq and is a predicted model, not a curated record.